AAUAGAUACCCCGGUAGUCCAUGCCGUAAACGUUGGGCACUAGGUGUGGGGUCCAUUCCACGGAUUCCGUGCCGCAGCAAACGCAUUAAGUGCCCCGCCUGGGGAGUACGGCCGCAAGGCUAAAACUCAAAGAAAUUGACGGGGGCCCGCACAAGCGGCGGAGCAUGCGGAUUAAUUCGAUGCAACGCGAAGAACCUUACCAAGGCUUGACAUACACCGGAAACGUGCAGAGAUGUGCGCCCCGCAAGGUCGGUGUACAGGUGGUGCAUGGUUGUCGUCAGCUCGUGUCGUGAGAUGUUGGGUUAAGUCCCGCAACGAGCGCAACCCUCGUCCCAUGUUGCCAGCGGGUCAUGCCGGGGACUCAUGGGAGACUGCCGGGGUCAACUCGGAGGAAGGUGGGGAUGACGUCAAAUCAUCAUGCCCCUUAUGUCUUGGGCUUCACGCAUGCUACAAUGGCCGGUACAAAGGGCUGCGAAACCGCGAGGUGGAGCGAAUCCCAAAAAGCCGGUCUCAGUUCGGAUUGGGGUCUGCAACUCCG
This 538-nucleotide ribosomal RNA is filed under the name uncultured bacterium. RNAcentral describes it as "bacterial SSU rRNA". It matches the Rfam family "Bacterial small subunit ribosomal RNA", at positions 777 to 1314 of the family's 1533-position model. The record is from RNAcentral.